This 631-nucleotide unclassified non-coding RNA is filed under the name Hevea brasiliensis (rubber tree). Lineage: Eukaryota; Viridiplantae; Streptophyta; Magnoliopsida; Malpighiales; Euphorbiaceae. The record is from RNAcentral.
CAGGAAUUUGUGUGGCUGAAAGAAAGCUUAAUGUAUUGGGGCAAAGCAUUCUAAGUGAUGUUGAUGAAAAUAUUAUUGUUACUCAGCCAAAUGGUAAAGCUUUUACUAAUGGGGCAUUUCUUGGUGUUAAUUCAGACAGAAUUGGUAGUCAUAGAGUCUUCCCUAUUGGCAAACUACAAGGAUUGAGAUUUAUGUGUGGUUUCCGGUUCAAGUUAUGGUGGAUGACACAGAGAAUGGGUACAUCUGGCCAAGAUAUACCAUUCGAGACUCAGUUUUUGAUUGUAGAAGGAAAUGAUGGUUCAAAUUUUGAUCAAGACAACCAGCAAAAUUCAGCAUUGUAUGUUGUUUUCUUGCCUAUUCUAGAAGGUGAUUUUAGGGCCGUUCUUCAAGGGAAUUCAAACGAUGAGUUAGAGAUAUGUUUGGAAAGUGGAGAUCCUGCUGUGCAAGAUUUCGAGGGAAGCCAUUUGGUUUACGUAGCAGCUGGACCAGACCCUUUUGAUGUCAUCACUAAUGCUGUCAAGACGGUGGAGAGGCAUUUACAGACAUUUUGUCACCGUGAUAGAAAGAAGAUGCCAGACAUGUUGAACUGGUUCGGAUGGUGCACGUGGGAUGCUUUCUAUACUACCGUUAC